GAUGAACGCUGGCGGCGUGCCUAAUACAUGCAAGUCGAGCGAACAGAUGAGGAGCUUGCUCCUCUGACGUUAGCGGCGGACGGUUUAGUAACACGUGGAUAACCUCCCUAUAAAACUUGGAUAACUUCGGUAAACCGGAGCUAAUACCGGAUAAUAUAUUCAACCGCAUGGUUCAAUAUUGAAAGACGGUUUUGCUGGCACUUAGACAUGCAUCCGCGCCGCAUAUGCUAGUUGGUAAGGUAACGGCUUACCAAGGCAACGAUGCGUAGCCGACCUGAGAGGGUGAUCGGCCACACUGGAACUGAGACACGGUCCAGACUCCUACGGGAGGAAGCAGUAGGGAAUCUUCCGCAAUGGGGGAAAGCCUGACCGAGCAAAGCCGCGUGAAGGAUGAAGGUCUUAGGAUCGUAAAACUCUGUUAUUAGGAAGGAACAAAUGUGUAAGUAACUAUGAACGUCUUGACGGUACCUGAUCAGAAAGCCACGGCUAACUACGUG
This 497-nucleotide ribosomal RNA is filed under the name uncultured bacterium. Its description in RNAcentral is "partial 16S ribosomal RNA". It matches the Rfam family "Bacterial small subunit ribosomal RNA", at positions 28 to 507 of the family's 1533-position model. The record is from RNAcentral.